CAGUCAAGAUGAAAAACUUCUUCUAAUGGAAUCCAGCUUGAAAGCUACUCAAGAGCAGCUAACUGAGCAAAUAGCAGAAACAGUUCGCCAAGAACAGAACAGUAGAAAACCCCAGGCAGAGCUGAAGACAGUGACAGAAGGGAUUAUUGCUUCUGAAGAAGAAAAAAUGAUUACAAAUUCUAAAUAAUGAUGUGGCGAGCAACUUUCUGUUAACUAUCAGGAAAUGUUCAAGGUCUAAGAAGACAAAGUUCUGCACCCAUUAUGUGAAAGCAGAAGGAAGUCUCCGCACCAUUCCGACCGGCCUGAUUGAAAAGAAGAUGGCUCAUGAUUCCCUGCACUGAGUUUGCAGUUGCUUUGAAAACUUAUCCCCUAAAAAUGUGAUCCAUCAGUUUCCUUUAACUUCAGUCAUGUCUUUUAUCCUUGAAAUAAAAAUAUCCUGGAUAUUUUCUCCACUUUAAUUCUGAUCAGUUCCUGGGCUUGGGUGUGGAUCGGUGAUGGCAGGCAGGAAGAAAAAGGAGAAGAUGAAAAAUAUUGCACUUACCCUGGUUGUGAAUCACAUUGAUUUAUAACUUUGAAGCUGAGAAGUCUUAGUAGUUUUUUGUUUGUUUUAUUAGAUGCAGAUGGUAUAGUUGUGUCAAUUGUAUUAUGUUUUAGUAAUAUUGUAUUAGUUGACUUAAGGGGUUGCAAUUCUGAUUGGGAUUUAUAUCAGCUAGUUUUAAACAGCAAUUUACCUAGUGCAUUGGAAAUAAAACUGCAUUCAUAAAUGUAACUAAAAUGUCAUAAAUGUAUUUACUAGUAAAUGAAGAUAUUCUUAAGAAUGAAAUGGCAAGGCAAUAUAAUUAAUUCGAAACUUGUUUCUAAAAUGUUAAUAA
Manis javanica (Malayan pangolin) is the source of this 872-nucleotide long non-coding RNA. RefSeq lists it as uncharacterized. Lineage: Eukaryota; Metazoa; Chordata; Mammalia; Pholidota; Manidae. The record is from RefSeq and is a predicted model, not a curated record.